Molecule: ribosomal RNA, 309 nt
Filed under: uncultured archaeon
Lineage: Archaea
Description: bacterial SSU rRNA
Rfam family: Archaeal small subunit ribosomal RNA
Source: RNAcentral
CGGCCGAGCAAGUCCAUCGGGAAAUCCGCACGCUCAACGUGCGGGCGUCCGGUGGAAACUGCCCGGCUUGGGACCGGAAGACUCGACGGGUACGUUCGGGGUAGGAGUGAAAUCCCGUAAUCCUGAACGGACCACCGAUGGCGAAAGCACGUCGAGAGGACGGAUCCGACGGUGAGGGACGAAAGCUAGGGUCUCGAACCGGAUUAGAUACCCGGGUAGUCCUAGCCGUAAACGAUGUCUGUUAGGUGCGACGCUGACUACGAGUCAGUGUUGUGCCGUAGGGAAGCCGCUAAACAGACCGCUUGGGAA